RNAcentral lists this ribosomal RNA (253 nucleotides) under uncultured bacterium. RNAcentral describes it as "partial 16S ribosomal RNA". It matches the Rfam family "Bacterial small subunit ribosomal RNA", at positions 524 to 776 of the family's 1533-position model. The record is from RNAcentral.
UACGUAGGGCGCAAGCGUUGUCCGGAAUCAUUGGGCGUAAAGAGCGUGUAGGCGGCUUGUUAAGUCUUGCGUGAAAUCUCGGGGCUCAACCCCGAGCGGUCGUGAGAAACUGGCAGGCUAGAGUGCGGGAGAGGAGAGUGGAAUUCCUGGUGUAGCGGUGAAAUGCGCAGAUAUCAGGAAGAACACCCGUGGCGAAGGCGGCUCUCUGGAACGCAACUGACGCUGAGACGCGAAAGCGUGGGGAGCAAACAGG